Molecule: ribosomal RNA, 254 nt
Filed under: uncultured bacterium
Lineage: Bacteria
Description: partial 16S ribosomal RNA
Rfam family: Bacterial small subunit ribosomal RNA
Source: RNAcentral
UACGUAGGGCGCAAGCGUUAUCCGGAAUUAUUGGGCGUAAAGAGCUCGUAGGCGGUGUGUCGCGUCGGCCGUGAAAACCUGCAGCUUAACUGUGGGCUUGCGGUCGAUACGGGCAUCACUGGAGUUCGGCAGGGGAGACUGGAAUUCCUGGUGUAGCGGUGAAAUGCGCAGAUAUCAGGAGGAACGCCGGUGGCGAAGGCGGCUCACUGGACUGGUAUUGACGCUGAGGUGCGAAAGCGUGGGGAGCAAACAGG